CAUAGAAAUCAAAACCCCUUCAAGGGCUUUGACUGUGUCUCUCCCUCUCUUUCUCUGCAGCAUCUCUCAAUGCACCUGAGGCAGAGCUCAUCGGUUAGGCCUGACGGCUCCAGCUCUGACAUCUGAGAAAUCAUUUUUUCUUCAGCAAACAAUAUUUUCACACAGUUCUACUGAUCUCCCUCCCCUGGACACAAACAGACACACAGGAACCGUCAGGCCGUACUUUGACUGAAUGAUGCUGAAAUUGUUGGGACUGCUAGAAAACUCACGAUUUGGUGAGAACUGCUAACAAUUGCUCCUUCAAAAAGUCUUCAAAAAUGGCAUUUUUUACACUUGGUUGAUAACUUUAACUGGAUAAACUGUUUCUCUUUGAGAUUUUGUCUAAUUAAAAAAUACUUUUUAUA
Sphaerodactylus townsendi is the source of this 404-nucleotide long non-coding RNA. RefSeq lists it as uncharacterized. The record is from RefSeq and is a predicted model, not a curated record. NCBI's taxonomy places the organism in Eukaryota, Metazoa, Chordata, Lepidosauria, Squamata, Sphaerodactylidae. The transcript is spliced from 2 exons.